GCCGAAGCCACGCCACCCGCUGCGCCGCGGCUCGCGAGCUGCAAUCUUCCUCAAGUUCCUCGUCUGAGGUGUUUUAGGAAUACUCUUCCCGAGCCGCCGCAGCAUUGCCUGGACUCGCUCAACUUUCUUUCGGGGAGAAAGAGUCUAAAGUUACAAUUUGUUUAAUUCCAAUACCAGAUUCCUAUAAGGAAGGGUUUGCUUUCAUUUGGGGGGGCAGGAAAAGGGAUUUGAAUGGAGGGUGGGGCGCGGCUCUGGUCCGAGCGGGCGCUCCUUCCUGGGGGAAUGGGCCGCGGGGACUGGAGUAAGAAAGAGGAAGUUUCGCAUAAAGAGUGAAGGUUGCAGAAGAAAUGUGAAACCGGGGAGGGGUGGAGAACCCUUGUGCCUUUCACCCCAGUCGCGGUCGCCGUCUUGGCGUCGCAUAGAGGGGCGGCGGCGGCAGAAACCUGCGCCCUCAGCGCCCCCAGCGCCCCCCGAAUGUUGAGGGAAUCGGGGGUCCCAGGCCCCGACGGUAAACUCGGAACUCACCAACCUCGACACCCCAGGACUGACUGACCUGUACCGCAAAAAGCUCUCGAGAGGUUUAAAUAAGUGGAUUUUGUGUGUAAGAAAGCCACUGCAUAGUGAACUUUGCAUUCUGCUUUCAGAGAUGGAUACCAGAAAGGGUCUUUGCAUGGAAAUAGCACUGAAGUGCAUCGAAGAACUGCAAUAACAAUUAGAAACCCUCUGAUCCCCAGGUUUUGUUUGAAAAAUGAAUAAUUGGACUGUGAAAACGUCCCGUGACCCCUGUGCUCACUCAAGCACCCAGACCCCUCCAGAAAUGAAUCCAUGGCUAUAUAGGUUCACGUUGAUUGAUCCACUGCGAUGCAGAAGUGCUCACAUCAGAGGAACCGUAAAGCAUCUCAAAGAAGAGGAAGUUAUCACAGGACCCGGGGAAAGGAGUUCAGCUUUCCUGAAGGAAGGAAACAACUAACCCUGACACCUUAACUGACUUCUGUUGAUCACUAGUCCUCUCAAGAAUAAAGCCAACCCUAGUUUAAAGUGUCUUUAUAGACUUAUGAUGAGGCCUAGCUGAGACAGACCUCAGAGAAACCUGGAUAGAAUCUGACCAAGAAGAGAAUCUGAUUUCAUGUUUGCUGCUGUCAAGAGGAUGAAGUUGUCUAUAAGAUACUAUCUUACUGACAACAAUCCCAUGUGAAGGUAGCAUUGUCUACUCAGCUCCCUCUGCAGAAGGGUGUGGGCCCCAACAUUGAAACUCUUCCUGUUUUCCAGAAAAAGCACAAUUCAGAGUUCAUUUCAAUCCCUAGUUUUAAGACUCAAAUCAAAUUGGUCAUUAAUUUAAUAAUAAUUUAGACAUAAUAUGACCUUAGUAAAAUAUGACUGGUGGGCUGGAUGUGGCAGGUACACCAGUUUUCAACCUUUACAGCACAAUGUCACAAAGACAUUUAUCUAUCUUUAGCCCUCUUCUUUAUAAUCUGAACAAUCCUUUCUUCAACAAUUGCUGAGCUCUCAUCUGCAAACCUGACCUUUUUAUCUGUGUGACAUUACCAUCUCUCCAUAUGCAUAUAUGCCACUUUAUUUAGGAUUGCUAUACUAUAACCUGAAAUUUACCAUUCUAGAAAUGGAAUUAAUUAUCCUCUUCCUCCUGCCAACAUUUAAUUCCAGCUGCUCAGCUCUCUAAUUUUGAUUAUCAGUACAGUGUCAGCAUUCUUCUCUUCCAAACUAAGAAAGUUACUACAAAAGGUGACUACAAUUUUGUUUAUCCCCUAUUCAUACAAAAGAGAAACAUGGAAAUUUGUAGCUGAAGUUCAACCUCCACUCCACUAUUCCCCUUUUUUCCCCAGCUCAGAAGAUCUAAGGAAUGAUUAGUCAGUCUAGAGCAAUGAUUUCCAAAUUGUACUUUAGAAAAGAAAAAAAGUUCCAAAAAAGUGGCACAGGUGGCUGCAUGGGUGGGGAGAGAAAGGAAGUGGAUAGAAGGGCCACACAGUGAAACUCUGGGAACUUUUAACAUGCAAAAAAAAACCUGUUGCCUGUCAACUUUUGUGUCUUCCUUUCUCCUCCACAACACAUUCUGGAAACUCAGGCUCCAUGAAAGCAAAAGCCAGGAAAAGAAGCAUUUUGUAAGAGCCUUGUGCUUUCAGACUCACCACUUAUACUUCUCCCAGGCAGGGAAGCACCAAGAUCCUCACAACACAGAAUCAGAGAGGAGAAAAAUGCAAUGUGAAAAACAAAAUGUUUCUCAGAAUUAUCCUGUCACAUGAGUCCAGGAAUGAUGUAUCAGGCAAUAAUGAUUUAAGAAAUAUUACCAGGGGAAACAAAAAGAAUGAUUUAAAAACUGGUUACAAACUGGUUAAUGUUUUUCUUCCAAAUAUAGAGAAGACUGCUGUUUAGUGAAGGAGUAGGCUUAUGUGAGUAUAGUUUGAGAUUCGUUAGUAUAACUUUUACUUAUGAAAAGUGAGUGGUACUUUUACCUAUACAAUUUAAAUCUCCCUAGACAUGAUAUCUCCACUGUAGAAAUUGGUCUCUAGUGAUGGUCCUCUCAUGAACCAUGCCUCCUGAUAUUCACACUUUUGUGCAGUCUCUAAACAAAGAAGUAUGGCACUGUACGUGCUAUCUGAGAAGCCUUGCAGUUUCCAGCUUGGUCUCUUUAAAUAUUCUUUCUGGGAACACUAACUACAUAUAAGAAGAUCAGCUGCCCUGAGAACACCGUGCUGCAAGUGUCUUGUGAGGGCACUCCAGCCAGUUGUCCUUGCCAUCCCUGCCUAGGGACAAUCUUGUGAGGAAAGCCUUCUGCGCCAUCCGUUACAUCCACCAGCUGCGUACCAGUGUGAAAUCUCGAUUGACACUCCUGAAGUAGAAGAAUCACCCAGCUGAGGCCUACCCAGAUUCCUGGCCUCAAAAAUCAUGAACUGUAAUAAAAUGCUUAUUGUUUUAAGCAGCUUAGCUUUAAAUAAUUUGUUACAUAGCAAUACAGUAACUAAAAUUGUGAUGUACAACUUGGAACUGAAUAUUUAUUUUCUGGAAUUAAUCCUGUCAAAUGAUCCUCAUGUAUAAUAAAAAUACUUAGAUUAUACUAUAUUUUAGAUAAGUUAUAAAUUUAAAAGUUGGAUGGAGUCUAAUAACAAUCACUGUUUAGAGCAUUACUACUGUAAGAAAAUUUGUUUUAUAUUUCAUGUAAAGCAAGUUUUUUUUUAAAGAGCUUUUAGAAUAGGAAAUGGUAGCAUUGUCUUUUUCAAAUAUAUAUAAGACAGCCCUGUUCCUUUCCAGUUCCCCGUCCUAGCUGAGGCUUCACUACUUCAUGCCUGGAUUCCUAACAGCCCUCCAUCUCUUUUCCUUUGACCAUUCAGUAAUUACAGGUGAAUUGGUACUGUGGGCCAGGUCCUUACAUAGGGGCUGGAGAUACUGUGGUAGAAAGCCUAAAUGAUUCUCACUACAUCCCCAAUUUGCAUGCAAUUUUCAGAUUAAUUUAUUGCUUUUAUUACAUUAUUUCAUUGCUCAAGAAUCUACAACUCCCCUACUCAAAGAGGUUCAGAUUCCUUUAGGUUGGAUACAAAGCCUUCAAUCACCGACUUUCCUUAGACAAGAAUAGUUUUCCCACUGCAUUCUCAAUCCUGGAAACUGGCCUUUUCACUGUCCUUCUUAUCAUUUGUUCAUUUUAAAGUUAUGUUGAUCUCACCAUGUAGGUCUCUCACUUAUGCCCAUCUCACUUGUAUCGUUCCUCAAGUCCAUUUUCCACAGGUGGCCUUUCAGUGUGGAAUUAUUGGAUAAGUCAGGCAGAAAACCCUUAUGCUCUGUUUAGUACCAUAGUGUAAUUCUUUAGAACAUAUUUUAAAAAUAUUUUAUCAAAACAUCAUAUAUUUAUACCUUAAAAAAUAAAAUGACGUUACAAUAAUGAAAAUAGAAGUCCUUGCUCCAUCCACUCUAAUUUUCAUUUCUUUCUUCUAGGGCAACCCCUUUAACUUUUGGUAGUUCUCCUGCUCUUUAUCUCCAUGUUUAUAAAUAAUAUUUUUCUACUGCUGCUUCUUAAUUUAUUGAUCAUUUAUUAUUAAAUGGAGUUAUAUCUCCUUUUCAUUGCCCUCCUUUUGAAUCAACACACACACUUUAUCUUCUCUGUGUACUUCUAUCACCAUUUUUAGUGAAAUUAAUAUGCAAUGUUUAUGCUCUAAGACUAAUUAUUAUUUGCAGCUUAGCCAUAUAGUGCACUGUGACUGCAUUGCCUAUCUUGUGCAACUUUUUGGUUUUUUUGUUCAGAAGUUUAAAAAUUGCCUCAUUUUUUACCCCUGCUGUUUAAUGAUUUAUUUCAAAUAUCCACCAGAGCAUAAAACUACUCUUCUAGCUCCUAUUUUUGUGUCCAGAUAUGUGAUUUGUUUUGUAUAUGAUUUACCAUUUUCUUCCAAGAGCUUUUAGUAUCUUCUUUCUCUGUACUUCUCUCUUCUUUCCUAUUUUUCAUCCUUGUAUUUUGUUCUCCUUUCUGGGAGAUUUAACCUUAUUCUUCCCUCUUCUAUUGCAGAUAAAGAUACAGUAGAAAUAUAAGAUAUAGCUAUAGAUAUUCAGAGAACAAAAUUUAUUGGGUGUGCUAAUUUCACCUGGGCACGUAUGUGUGUGUUUGUGCAUGUAAAAUUCUAUGAAUUUUAAUUCUCUGGAUGUUUUUAAUGAGAUGAUUUUAUUUCAUGAAAAAUACCUUCCUUUUUUAGUACUGGGGAUUAAACCCAGGUCCUGUGCACUGAGUGACAUUCCUAACCCUUUUGUAUUUUCUCUUUUGAGACACAGUCUUGCUAAAUUGCCCAGUCUGGGCUUGAACUUCCAGUCCUCUUGUCUCAGCCUCCUAGAUUGCUGGGAUUACAGGCAUGAAUCAUCAUGCCCAGCAAUCCUUUCUUAUCAGUCUAAGGGUAAUGUGGGUUUUUUGGUUUUUUUUUCAUGUUUAGUUUUUUUUGGAAUCUGCCACUCAUGUUAGAGAAUUUCCUCAAAUAUACGGUAGACCUUGGUGUUCUAACAUAUUUAAAUGAGAAACUGAACAUUUGUGCAUGUUAUUAAUGUUUAGAGAUUGGAAGAUUUUUCCUACGGUGUACUUGGGCAGGACCUACUCAUUUCAUCAUGGAAGAUCUAAGUAUCAUUUUUCAAGUUUAAAUUUCCAUUGUUUUAAAUUGACAAAUAAAAUUGUCUUUAUCACA
This is a long non-coding RNA of Chinchilla lanigera (long-tailed chinchilla), 5168 nucleotides long. RefSeq lists it as uncharacterized. The transcript has 3 exons. Lineage: Eukaryota; Metazoa; Chordata; Mammalia; Rodentia; Chinchillidae. The record is from RefSeq and is a predicted model, not a curated record.